UACGUAGGGGCGAGCGUUGUCCAGAGUUACUGGGCGUAAAGAGCGUGUGGGCGGUUGAAAAAGUCAGGUGUGAAAUUCUUCGGCUCAACCGAGGGACUGCGCUUGAAACUUUUCGACUGGAGUUUGGGAGGGGCAACCGGAAUUCCUGGUGUAACGGUGAAAUGUGUAGAUAUCAGGAGGAACACCCGUGGCGAAGGCGGGUUGCUGGACCAAAACUGACGCUGAGACGCGAAAGCGUGGGUAGCAAACAGGAUUAGAUACCCUGGUAGUCCCUGAGCGGGCUGG
RNAcentral lists this ribosomal RNA (285 nucleotides) under uncultured prokaryote. Its description in RNAcentral is "partial 16S ribosomal RNA". It matches the Rfam family "Bacterial small subunit ribosomal RNA", at positions 524 to 819 of the family's 1533-position model. The record is from RNAcentral.